UCAAUUCUCUCUUGCCACACGAAGAGAAUUCUCCUGCACACUUCGUGUGUUUGAUUCUACCCAUCCCUGUUGAACACAAGUCAUUUUCUUCCAUCGCACUCAUCUGGGUGUUUGCUCUUUUCCAUCCAAGCCAAAGAGUGACUUCAGUGUGCUCUGAACCGUGGACAGGAGAGUGUGUGUUUGUGUGCUGCGUGAACUAUUUUUCCUGCGUAAAACACUUUCCCGUACUGCACCAUCCGCGGUGUUCUUUUUGCUUCAUCGGAGGACGAAUUUUUAUCAUUUAAUUGUAUCGAUGUGUGCUGCUACCGCUAGCUGUUCUCCAAAUCUCUUUAAAAUGCGACACUGUGUGCACAGGCGUUCAAGGUUCAAUUGAUCCUCAAGCACAAAGCCUUCAUACAACACCGCGGUUGAGGCGCGCCAAAUCUGAUGACAUCUUUCCUGAACCAAGCAGGCUGAACACGCGCACCACCACGGGCGCCAGCGCGGUGUGAAGAGGGAA
Long non-coding RNA from Anopheles merus, 499 nucleotides. RefSeq lists it as uncharacterized. Lineage: Eukaryota; Metazoa; Arthropoda; Insecta; Diptera; Culicidae. The transcript has 3 exons. The record is from RefSeq and is a predicted model, not a curated record.